This 459-nucleotide ribosomal RNA is filed under the name uncultured bacterium. RNAcentral describes it as "partial 16S ribosomal RNA". It matches the Rfam family "Bacterial small subunit ribosomal RNA", at positions 338 to 795 of the family's 1533-position model. The record is from RNAcentral.
CCUACGGGUGACAGCAGUGAGGAAUAUUGGUCAAUGGUCGGGAGCCUGAACCAGCCAAGCCGCGUGAGGGAGGAAGGUACAGCGUAUCGUAAACCUCUUUUGUCAGGGAACAAAGUCGGGGACUCGUCCCCGGAUGAGUGUACCUGAAGAAAAAGCAUCGGCUAACUCCGUGCCAGCAGCCGCGGUAAUACGGAGGAUGCGAGCGUUAUCCGGAUUUAUGGGGUUAAAGGGGGGCGCAGGCGGUCUGUUAAGUCAGCGGUCAAAGCCCGGGGCUCAACCCCGGCGAGCCGUUGAAACUGGCAGGCUGGAGUUGGAGAGAAGUACGCGGAAUGCGCGGUGUAGCGGUGAAAUGCAUAGAUAUCGCGCAGAACCCCGAUUGCGAAGGCAGCGUGCCGGCUCCACACUGACGCUGAGGCACGAAAGCGUGGGUAUCGAACAGGAUUAGAUACCCCGGUAGUC